UAUGGCUCUCGCGUAAAGAAAUGGCGCACAGUGGAGAGACGUCAUCCCUCUCAGUGCCAGGGCUAGGAAAACACACAGUCAUGGAAAGAAGGAAAAUGACAUUCUCUGUCUACAGCCAGAGAAGGACGUGGAAUGAAGGUAAAGUUUGCUAAUGUGACAUCAACGGAGAAGCCCUUUCCAAAUCAUCUCAUUUUUUGAAGUGGAGGAAGAAAAGAAGUUACGGAAAUCAGGAGCAUCUAAGGCAGAAGUGAGCUCAGUGGUUACAAAAUGCUCCCUGAGCAGCCAGGAACGACAGGCGGAGUGGAAGCGUGGGGAAGCACAGAGACGUUCUCACCAGUCAAGGGGGGCGGGGGAGACUGUGAAAUAAUGCAACAGAUUUUGAGCCCAUCCGUUUGAUGGAUUUGACCAAUUGCAUCCAAACACCUCCACGGAAGCGCAGGGCAUGUUUUCCCCAAGACAUCCAACAACGGUCAACAGGGUACAAAUACAGUUAUGGAAGCCUGCUGAAAUCGAUCACAGGUCCUGCAAUGUAUUAUUUGAUGUCAUUUGUAACCUUAUUUUAUCUGCCCUGGGAAGCUCCUUGAGGGUGACUGCAGAGAUUGUCUCUUGUUAGCCUAGAAACUUCCUUGGAGGAAUAGAGCAAUCCACGUACACUUUGUUGGGAUUGUUUUUAAAAAGGUGUUUUUCCAGGGCACCUGGGUGGCUCAGAGGGUUAAAGCCUUUGCCUUAGGCUCAGGUCAUGAUCCCAGGACCUGAGAUGCAGCCCAGCAUCGGGCUCUGCUCAGCAGGGAGCCUGCUUCCUCCUCUCCCUCUCCCUGCCUCUUCUGAUCUCUGUCUGUCAAGUAAAUAAAUAAAUCUUUAAAAAGAAAGAAAAGGCGAUUUUCCCAUUAAUAUGGAAAAUCUCCAACUUUGGGGUGGAAUUUUAUUUUUGAAGACAGCUGAAGAUAAUUAGAACAGAAUCUGGUAACAUAAAUCACUAAUCUUUGUAAUAUUGUUUAGCAAAAGGCAUAAAUACAUUAAAAAAUUAAGGUUGAGAACCAUAGACAUCCUAUGAUCAGGUGAAUAAAAGAGUAUCACCCUAGGGAAGACCAAAUGAGAGAAAACACACCAAAAUGUUAAUAUUAGAGUCUUUGAAUUCUGAACAAUUUUUUUUCUCACAUUUAUAGUAAAAAAAGAUAAAUUCUUGUUUAGGAAAAAUAAUGAAGCACAUUUUCUUUUGCAAUGAAUAUACUGUCUCUGACUGAGGGAAAAUAUAUGCAAAAAGAUCAAAAAUUGUUUUCAACAAUGUAACUAUCAUUGUAGCAAUAUAAUUGUUAUAUUUUAACUGUUACAUCGUAACUUACUUAAAAGUAAAAUAAAGUUAGCUGCUGUUUAUUGAAAAGCUACUAUGUGUGGAGCACAUGAUUCUAUCCUGCAUGCACAUGAUCUUGAACCCAGAAAGUAUCAUGCAAGGUGAAUAUUUUAAUUUUAAUGGCAUUUUACAGAAAUUGAAGUGUAGAGUUGAAGUAACUAGGUUCCAAGUCCCACGUCGUGUAUGGGGUUGAUUGUAGGACUUUUAAUCUGAAGCCUGUGAUCUCCCAACAUCAGAAAGCCUCUUCCUGGGUCCAGUGAACCUUCACUUUGGCCAAACGCAACUACCCUACAUUCAAGGUGUCUUACAGAUCAACCCCACCUGACCACCUUACCUUACUCCCCUUCUUCCUGGGCUCACCAGGGACAUUCCUGCCCUCAGCCACCUUCCCUGAAGGGUCUUUUACCCUCUUGUAUCCUUGCACAGCCAACUCAGUCUCCAAACCAUAAACAUCCCCGGACCUAUUCGGUUUGCUGGCAUCAUGCCUACCUUUGAAUUUUUAUCAACUCUGCUCUUCAUCAGGCGUCUGCUUUUUGUCAGUUUUUGUAUUUUUUCUUAUUAUCAUUCAAUAUUUUACGUACACGUGGCUUACUCCACAGUUAGAAUGUUCUCUUCUCGAGGUCAGGUGCACAUACUCUCUGUUGGCAUUUAUUUCUCUUUUUUGAGAUUUUUAUUUAUUUAUUUGACAGACAGAGAUCACAAGUAGGUAGAGAGGCAGACAGAGAGAGAGAGGAGGAAGCAGGCUCCCUGCUGAGCAGAGAGCCCGAUGCGGGGCUCGAUCCCAGGACCCUGGGAUCAUGUCCUGAGCCGAAGGUAGAGGCCUUAACCCACUGAGACACCCAGGCACCCCAGUUGGCAUUUAUUAUGGCAUAACAUAAUGGUUAAGAGAGGAGAACGCAGAGUCAG
Molecule: long non-coding RNA, 2257 nt
Organism: Mustela lutreola (European mink)
Lineage: Eukaryota; Metazoa; Chordata; Mammalia; Carnivora; Mustelidae
Exons: 4
Source: RefSeq, a predicted model, not a curated record